GAAAGAAAGAAAAUGAAGACCGACCAAAAGCAGGAAAUUUUCAUGGCUUUCAGAGCAAGAAACAAUACCUUUGGGAAAAACUGGCCUUUGGCUCGGGCCGUGUCCCCUUCUCAGAUCAGCAUCCCUUUUCUUCCCCUGCUUUCCCAACUCUGCAGCAAAGCCGGCCGAUGAUCUUUUGACGGUUCACUGUGGGAGCGCCACGGCGGGGCUCCUUCUCCCCUGUUUCUAAGUCCCUGAGCCUGGGACGGCAUGUCCCGGCCCGCUCGUCACCAAUGCAGCCCCGGAUGGCUCGUUGCUCCCUGUUAAGGAAGCUUCUGGCCCAGGGCUCAAGAAGCUCUCUAAUGACCGCCCAUGAUGGAAAGAGACAGGAAUGUACCUCUCCACCCUGGUUAUCCCCUUACUUCUUAAAUUGGCUCAACAUCUCUAGGUGACCCUUCAGACUUAAUUGCAAUCUUAAGAACAGUUAGUUAAGAGCAAGGCUGAAAUCACUUAGGCUAGGUAUUGGAAUGGCUAACCGGAAAGGCUAGAGAGGAUGGGGAACCCCCAUUAGUUAAAGGAUUAUGGGCAUGGAAGAUGGAGAGCCUUGAGAGGCAAGGAGAGGGCUUCUUUUAAGAACCUCAGCUAUCUCACAGUUGUCUUCAUUGUUCCAAAAACAUGUAUAUUCAUGCCAGCAGUAAAUAGUUCUUUGCAUCUUGUGAUCAACCACCCUAAUGGCCCAAUCCUCUCCCCUCCCUUCAUCCAUGCCCUUUGCCAUAUAAAUUUUCCCUCUCUGCUGAGCAGAUUGAAAUUCCCAGCCAUGGGCUGAGCCUUGCAUCCUUCUCCACUGACCAACUGGACAUCAGCAGACAAGGCACAGGCAUGCUGUCUUGCCUCCUGUUGUGCUUAUGCCAUGACCAUGAGAGGGACUAGCCCUUAGUCCCCAGAAGUGUCUGAGAAACCUUGAAGCAGAGUUGCCCCAGCUGAGUACAAGGGAGCCAGCUCAGUGGAGACUAGCCAGGCCCAGCCUAGGUCAACUAGGCUCUACAGACCUAUAAAGAAUAGAUGUUGAUUGUAGUAAGCUGAUGCUACCAUCUAAGUUUUGUUAUGCCACAAUUUUGUGGCAAUACUAAAUCCUUCAUAAAGCUACAAUCUUCUAGGAACUGUUCAGAACACUGGAGAAAGCAACAGGGAAUAAAACUGAGCCACAACUCUCAUGGAACCUACAUUCCAAUAGAGCACUUUACACACAUGUAUUAUCACUUAAUCCCCCUAAGCCCUGGUGGCAGUCCCAUUUGGGGGAUGAGGAAACUGAGACUCGAGAAGGCUAAUUUGCUUGCUAAUUAUAACAACCCAGUAAAUGCCAGAGCUGAGAUCUGAACUCAUAUCUUCUGACUCCAAGUGCUACCCUCUUUCUGCUGCUCCAUAGCAUCCUCUACUUUCCUGCUGACGUCAGCACCUCUCACUGGAGUUCCAGAGGGACCUGACUUGGGUGGGAAGACAGAUGGGAACUGCAAGUUGGACCCAAAGAGGACUGCUCUGUUACCAACAAAAUGAGACACAACUCUCAUUUUUAUCCCCUGAAAUUGUUCCUCCUUGCAAUUAAACCAAUCUCUGUUUACAAGUAUUUAGCACGAUUCUAGAAAUUACAUUUUGAAAUUAUGCGAACAGAGAGAGAAGGCAACCCACACAGUGAGCGAUUUCUUGUGGAUAAUUGGCUGCUGGUUCUGGCUCCAAUGAUGCCUUCUCUUUUAGAACAUAAUUAGUGAUUUCAAAGAAAACUGUUAGAAAUGGCCCAGGUCUUUAAAGAAAGGCUUUUCCAGUUCCUAGCAUUAGGAGAGCUACUCAAAUGCAUGCUGACAAAUUUCCCUUUUUGUUUUUUGGGUUUUUUUUCCCUUUUUUAUAAUGACCUCUCAGGCUAUUUUCCAAAGAUUGGUAAGGUUGUGGAUGUAUAGAACUCUUCCAGAUAUGGGAGAAAUCCCAGAUUCCCAUCAGAAAACUUAGAAUCUCCUUCCUUUUUUACCUUCCUUCCUCCUUUUUUCCCUGCCUUCCUUCCUUCUCGCCUUCCUUCUGAGAAAGAACAGAGUAUUUAGGAGUUCCCAUCAUGCCUCAGUGGUUAACGAAUCCGACUAGGAACAAUGAGGUUGCGGGUUUGAUCCUUGGCCUUGCUCAGUGGGUUAAGGAUCUGGCAUUGCUGUGAGCUGUGGUGUAGGUCGCAGAAGAGGUUCAGAUCCAGCGUUGCUGUGUCUCUGGCGUAGGCCGGCAGCUACAGCUCUGAUUCGACCCCUAGCCUGGAAACCACCAUAUGCCGCACGUGCAGCUCUAGAAAGACAAAAAGACAAAAAAAAAAAAAAAGACAAAAAAAAAA
RNAcentral lists this long non-coding RNA (2344 nucleotides) under Sus scrofa (pig). RNAcentral's name for it is "lncRNA (ENSSSCG00055009421.1)". Lineage: Eukaryota; Metazoa; Chordata; Mammalia; Artiodactyla; Suidae. The record is from RNAcentral.